This 253-nucleotide ribosomal RNA is filed under the name uncultured bacterium. RNAcentral describes it as "partial 16S ribosomal RNA". It matches the Rfam family "Bacterial small subunit ribosomal RNA", at positions 524 to 776 of the family's 1533-position model. The record is from RNAcentral.
UACGUAGGGGGCGAGCGUUGUCCGGAAUCAUUGGGCGUAAAGCGCGUGUAGGCGGCCCGGUAAGUCCGCUGUGAAAGUCCAGGGCUCAACCUCGAGAUGUCGGCGGAAACCAUCUGGCUAGAGUCCGGAAGAGGAGAGUGGAAUUCCUGGUGUAGCGGUGAAAUGCGCAGAUAUCAGGAAGAACACCCGUGGCGAAGGCGGCUCUCUGGGACGGUACUGACGCUGAGACGCGAAAGCGUGGGGAGCGAACAGG